AUUGAACGCUGGCGGCAGGCUUAACACAUGCAAGUCGAGCGAGCGGCGGACGGGUGAGUAAUGUCUGGGAACCUGCCUGAUGCAGGGGGAUAACUACUGGCAACGGUUGCUAAUACCGCAUACCAUCAGACGGGCCCCUAUGGGCUUGGCUAGUAGGUGGGGUAAUGGCUCACCUAGGCGACGAUCCCUAGCUGGUCGGAGAGGAUGACCAGCCACACUGGAACUGAGACACGGUCAAGACUCCUACGGGAGGCAGCAGUGGGGAAUGUGGCGCAAUGGGCGCAAGCCUGAUGCAGCCAUGGCGCGUGUGUGAAGAAGGCCUUCGGGUUGUAAAGUACUUUCAGCGGGGAGGCGUUACCCGCAGAAGAAGCACCGGCUAACUCCGUGCCAGCCGCCGCGGUAAUAC
This 406-nucleotide ribosomal RNA is filed under the name uncultured bacterium. RNAcentral describes it as "partial 16S ribosomal RNA". It matches the Rfam family "Bacterial small subunit ribosomal RNA", at positions 30 to 526 of the family's 1533-position model. The record is from RNAcentral.